UGGGGAAUUUUGGACAAUGGGCGCAAGCCUGAUCCAGCAAUGCCGCGUGCAGGAUGAAGGCCUUCGGGUUGUAAACUGCUUUUGUACGGAACGAAACGGCUCUGUCUAAUACAUGGGGCUAAUGACGGUACCGUAAGAAUAAGCACCGGCUAACUACGUGCCAGCAGCCGCGGUAAUACGUAGGGUGCAAGCGUUAAUCGGAAUUACUGGGCGUAAAGCGUGCGCAGGCGGUGAUGUAAGACAGGUGUGAAAUCCCCGGGCUUAACCUGGGAAUUGCAUUUGUGACUGCAUCGCUGGAGUGCGGCAGAGGGGGAUGGAAUUCCGCGUGUAGCAGUGAAAUGCGUAGAUAUGCGGAGGAACACCUGAGGUGAAGACGGGUUGCUGGUCUAACACUGACGCUGAGGCGCGAAAGCCAGGGGAGCAAACG
This 427-nucleotide ribosomal RNA is filed under the name uncultured bacterium. RNAcentral describes it as "bacterial SSU rRNA". It matches the Rfam family "Bacterial small subunit ribosomal RNA", at positions 355 to 774 of the family's 1533-position model. The record is from RNAcentral.